ACGCACUGGAACGGCUCCACGAGUCUGUCACCCAGGUUGGAGUGCGGUGGUGUGAUCUUGGCUCCCUGCAACCUCCACCUCCCAGGUUCAAGCGAUUCUCCUGCCUCAGCCUCCCAAGUAGCUGCGAUUACAGGCACCCACCACCAUGAAGAAUGGCAUUUUUAAAAGAUGGCUUUCUUAAAAAAGGAUACUCAGUUGCUCUUCUACUCAUACCAAGUCCUGCAGACACAUUCUGGGACUGCACCUUAUGAGUGCUGCUCACUCUGUUUCCUGCAGAAGACAUACAGAGCCGUUCGCAUAGAGUAGGGCCAUGAUUUUGAUUCAGCAAUUCUUCAAACCACUGAUGCUGGUUGACCAUUUGACUUUGUUUUUGAAGUAUUUUUUACAUACAGUGUACAGAACAUUUCCGCUGGAUAUUUGGAUACUGAACAGGAGUAACAAGAGGAACAGCUCCUACCUCCCCCCUGCCCCUUCCCUCACAAGCCUGUGAGUCAGGGCAGGGGCAGCCACUGAAAGUAGCAGAGGCCUUCAUAAAGGAGAAGUGAGUGGGAUCUGAGGGGACAAAGGAUCCCUGCCCAAGUGCAUGUCAUCCAGUGGCUGACCACAGUGUUCACGGCUGCCGCCAUUAGUCUUUCAUCUUUGGAUUGAGACCCAGUCUCCCAGAAGACCCUAUGCCAAUGCAAAUGGCUACUGGACAGUGAUAAUGUAUAAUGUUCCCUAUCCAGGUUGUCAGGUAGACCUUUGGAUUAACUCCCCAAAAGCAGCCCCCUAGGAGACAGGCGACAGCACCGCAGUCAGGGGAUGCAGGCGUGGAGGGUAAGAGCACGCGUCUAGAUUUCAGUUCAGUCUCUACCAUGUUAUUAGCUAUGCCACCUGAUGCCUCAGCUUCCUCAUCUGUCCAAUGCGGUUAAUUAUAGCACCAGCCUCUCGGGCUGAUGUGAGAGAUAAAGGAAUGGAGGCACAUAAGACCCUUAGAACAGCGCCCAACACACAGGCCAAGGGCUCUGUAACUUCACCUCUCAAUGGUCAAUGAUACAUAAUUUGAUGACAUUGUCUGAAGACCAAGGUGCUGGUGGCAGAGUCAGGACUGUGGGUGGUAGCGAGGGAGAGAGAGGCCCUGUGUAGUCAGGGGAGUGGCCCGAGGGGCAGAGGAACCCAGUCAGUAAACAGAGACGUUUUGUACUUCAAAGUUUUGCCCAUAGGCAGUUCUGUGACUGAAGACGGGGAGGUCGAAAGCAGAGGUGGUGACAGCCGGGAGUAACCGUGUGGUGUGGAGAGUCCUGGCCUGGCACACAGUUGUCAAGAGAAGGCUUGUGACUCAUCCUUUAUUUAAGCCUCAGGACACUGGCUAUAAAAUGUUGUGUUUUUUUUUUUUUCCUUUCAAAAUUUGACUUAGUGGCUAAUAUUUUUUUAAAAAAACACCAUGAGAUUUUAAAUAAAAAUUCCAAUUCCUUUCUUCUCAUGAAAACUUGGAAGAUUUAUUAAUGCAGGGCCUGACAUGUUGCACAGUAACAAUGGGCUGCAGCCAAGUGCCCGCUGGCCCGUUCAAAUGUACCCUCAGUUUGUUUAUUGCAUUUCUGCAACUCUCUUGUCCCCAGCACGGAGGAUGUUGCAAUUUUUUAAAGAGCAUUUGCAUCCUUAAGAAGAAAGUGAAAUACCACAUUUUUCUAUGACUCUUUUAAAAGUAGGAACAUGAAAAAAUGGACUGAGUAGGGUUGUGUCUUUUGAGAAAAAAAGGGAGAGAGCAUAUUUCUUUAUGGAAGAGAAAGAGGGUGUGUGUUUCAUGCAGCUGCUUCACUGCCUUCAGUUAACUGCUGUUCUCUUGUAGGACUCUGUGUUCACAAUUCCUGCCUAACACAAUACUUUGCUAGGGGUCAGCAACUAAAAUGGAAUAGGGAAAAAUACCAGCUUUUCUUGGAUUUUGGCUGACUUUAUGUUAAUAGAAUAUAUGUUUUUGAAACUCUCCCUCCAAGUUCAUCUAAACCACGUUGUGACAUCCACCAAUCCAAUGCCUUUAUUUUCUUCCAGUGUAUUGACCCUUUUGUGCUUGCAAAAACACUUGCAUGCAAAUUGUUUGUACCUGGGAUUCCUUUUACACCAUGUAACCCUGGCAAUCCUGGGAGACCGGGAGGCCCUGGGAUAUAAGGGCACUGUGUACACAGGAGGCCUGGUUCUCCUGCAAUGAGAGCAUACUAGCAUUACUUAAAAAGCUACAUUGAGUCCUCAGAAAGAACAAAUAUUUUCCAACCACACUAUCAUUUAUUACAUUUAAACAUUUUUAUGUAGUGAAAAUUAUCUAGGACGUUAUACAUAUUAAUUUAAAAAUUCAUUUAUUAUAGAUCUGCUUACUUUAAUGUUCUGAGCUAUACAGUUCUUCUGAAAGGGGAAAUUCCAAAAGUCUAACAUAAAACAUCUAUUUCAGUGUUUCUUUCCUUGCAUGCAGGCAAAAACUCACAUUUUAGGGAUAUCCAACAAUUUAUUGCAUGGGUGCCAAAUAAAUUAUUGAUUUACAGAUAAAUGAAUACUUUUAGCUAAUGGAAAAUAAGUCAUCACUGACUGGUAGCUAUUUGGGAUCAUUGUUAUCUCAGGGGGAAAAAUCAGUGAUAAUAAUGACGAUGAAAAAGGCUUAUCCUAAUACAACAUUAUUGAUUGAACCAACCUUUGGGCCCAUCAACUCCUGGGAUUCCUGGAGACCCUAGAUAGCCUGGCAGUCCGUGAUCUCCAGGUGGACCCUUGCGAAAAACGAUGUCACCUAUAAAAAUACAGCACCAAAGACAAUUUUUUAUUUGUGUUUUUUUCAAUUAGCAAGUAUUGUAAUAUAUGUAUUAUUUAAAAUGCAUCUCUCUCAUCUUUGUAUUGGAAGCCUAGUCUUUAGAAGUUUAUCUGCAACUGAGAAAGCAUGGUGACCAGCUCUUCCCUUCAUAUUACAUAGAUGUGGUAUUUUUAAGGUAGUUGAUCUUUGAAAGCUCAUUGUAUAAUUUUUUUUUUUGGUCACAGAAUCAACCUAUUUUAUCUUACUUAGUUGUUUCCAAUUAUUCCAAGUUGAUAUGGUUUGGCUGUGUCCCAAAUCUCAUCUUGAAUUGUAGUUCUAUAAUCCCCAUGUGUCAUGAAAGGGACCUGGUGGGAGGUAAUUUAAUCAUGGGGGCAGUUACCCUCAUGCUGUUCUUGUAAUAGUGAAUGAGUGCUUAUGAGAUCUGAUGGUUUUAUAAUGGGCUUUUCCCCAUUUUGCUCAGCACUUCUCCAUGUUGCCAUCAUGUGAAGAAGGACAUGUUUGCUUCUGCUUCUGCCACGAGUGUAAGUUUACUGAGGACUCCCCAGCCGUGCUGAACUGUGAGUCAAUUAAACCUCUUUAAAUUACCCAGUCUCGGAUAUGCCUUUAUUAGCAGCAUGAGAAUGGACUAAUACACAGACAAUCCCUUUAGCAUCUUGAGGCAAAGGAUCAACUCUUAUUCUGGAUAUUUUUGGAUACAUUGUAUUUUCCUGAUAUACUGUAGAUGCUUAAUAUAUAUUGAGUAAAAGAAAAAUGGAUUCUGACUCAGGGUAUCAUCUGUUUUCUCUUUGUUGCUUGUCCACAUCAAUUGAGUUGUCAUCCUUAAAGCAGGUCUCUAAGAAAGCUCUUCUCAGCUUCCACAUUAUCUGCUACUGUAAUGUUGCAAUGAACAGCUCCUUCUCUUAAACUGGUUAAUUGUGUUCAGUAAUCUAAUUUUUGGCUUUGCCAUUUCAAUUACAGGUUGAAGGCAAUGGUGAUGAAAGUAAAUAUUUAAAAACACUACCAUAGCUGUCCCAAAUUUCAGAAAAACAAGGUACCACUGGAACCAUUUAAUUUUGUUGGAACACAGAAUGACCAUCUUGUGAUCAGUUUUCUGCAUCUUUAAAAUACCUGGAAGGUCAUCUUUAAAUAGUACAAUCUGAUAAAAGUUUAAUACUUAGUGUAGACUUAUAUGAAUACUUCUACAUUCAUACAUUUUUGUAUACUUAUACAUUUUCAUACUCAAUUAAUGCUUAAUUCAAAAAAUAUCUGAGUACCUGCAGUGUUCCCCAUGCUACAUACUGGGCUUAAACAGCCAAAAAGACACAGUCUUUGACCUCAAAAUACUUUGAUUCUUGUAAGAAAAACUGACAAAGACAAAGAGAAGGCAAUGUGAAAACUUCUACAGUUGGGAUAACCUUGGAGGUUACAGGAUGUGGACUCACUGAAAGCUUUCUGCUGGACUUGAACUUGAAGCUGAAGUCUGAAGGACAGAUGGGUGUUGCUUAGCGAAGGGAAAGUAGGAAGCAAAGACCCCUGGACAGAGUGUAGCAGGCACAGAGGGAGCAUGACACCUUCGGGAGAGAGCCGCAAGCACCUGGGCCCAGAUCCCAGCUUUAGCUUCAUUAGCCCUGUGAACUCUGUAUGUCAGCCUUGACAUAGAAAAAAAGAGGAUACUAAACCUCCAUCUUAAAAGAGACUUGGAAGAAGCUGGGAUUAUAGGCACACCACCACACCUGGCCCCAGAAAAGGGAAUCCUUGACCUGCAAGAAUCGAGGAAUAUUGUUUCUGACAUGCUCAGUGGACCUACUGCUGGUGUUCUUAACCAUUUCCUUCCUAAGUGGAACUUCUUUUGAGGUUAAUGUUUAUAUACAAUUACUUUAACAUUGGAUUUGGGAAAUGGAACAACAUACUGCGGAUCUUUCUGCUACCGAUGAAAGAAGAAGGUUGAGUUUUACCUUCUAGAGCUUUACAGUGUAAACAAGCAGUAUUAGGGUUUGUUUUUACCUUCUCCCCUUUGGCCCCGUCACAGAAGCACUGGCCUUUGUCUUUACAGACACAACCCUAGGAAGAGGGAAAGAGAAAGGGUUUUGUUUAGAAACAGCUGAAUAAAUCCCAACCGGCAGGGUAAAAGCAAAUGCAUUUCUCUGUUCUUCGAGUAUUGGACACUAUCUGUUAGGAGCCAGGUGACCUUGUAGCAAUAUAUCAAUAGAAAUAUAUCAAUAUAUGAAUAGCAAUAAAGUAGAAAACUGAGAACAUGUUGCAUAAGGGAGAAAUGUCGGAUAAGAAUACAUCAUUUGUAUUGUACUUGGGAAUUUUAAGUGUUAAAGUAAUGGCCGUUUUUGCCAUUACUUUUAAUUACCUUUGUACCAACCUAAUAAUUUAUAUAUGGAAACGACAAAGCUAUCCUUUUUUUCAGGAUAAUAUCUAAUUGAAUCAUAAGAAAUUGCUGCUGUCAUAGUUAAAAAGUGGUCAAAUACUGGCAAAUUCUUAGGUUCUACAUAAUGUUCAUAUAUGUGUAUGUGUAUAUAUGUAUAAUGUAUACAUGUAUAUGUACCUUUUAUGUAGAACACAAUGUAUUUGGUUAGUGCCAUUACUUGGACAAUUUUUUUGCCAUUACUUUCAAUGGCAAAAGCCACAAUAACUUUUGCACCAACCUUAUAUAUAUUUGUGUAGAUUAAUAUGCAAUAUAUUCCAUAGGUGAUAUUAAGGUUUUCUUUGACUUAAAUAAUGUUUAAGACUGGGAAGAGGAUCAAUACCCAUUACACAUCUUUAAAGAGAACAAACUAACUCAUUAAUGCUAGUAUCAGAAUGUUCUUUCUUUUUUUAUUCUCAAAUAUUUUGAACAACAGAAUGUUCUUUCUUAUAAAACCAAAACCAAAACAAAAAAUUCAGCUGUGAGUUAGACAUACCUUAUCCUACCUAACUAGUCACUGUGACACACUUACCCCCCAGCCCUCACACCUAUGCACAUUCCAGCUCCAAUGGACAUCAAAUUUUUAAAACUUUUCUCUGCCAGCAGAGGAACAAAUAAAGAAAUAGUUUCAAAUAAUAGACUUAAAAUGUGUUUUGGCUGGGCACAGUGGCUCAUGCCUGUCAUCCCAGCACUUUGGGAGGCCGAGGCAGGCAGGUCACUUGAGGUCAGGAGUUUGAGACCAACCUGGCCAACCUGAUGAAACCCCAUCUCAACUAAAAAAUAUAAAAAUCAGCUGGGUGUGGUGGUGGGCUCCUGUAAUUCCAGCUACUCCAGAGGCUGAGGCAGGAGAAUGGCUUGAACCCAGGAGGUGGAGGUUGCAGUGAGCUGAGAUCAUGCCACUGCACUCCAGCCAGGGUGACAG
Molecule: long non-coding RNA, 6087 nt
Filed under: Homo sapiens (human)
Lineage: Eukaryota; Metazoa; Chordata; Mammalia; Primates; Hominidae
Description: MFF divergent transcript
Source: RNAcentral